This is a non-coding RNA of Picea glauca (white spruce), 46 nucleotides long. NCBI's taxonomy places the organism in Eukaryota, Viridiplantae, Streptophyta, Pinopsida, Pinales, Pinaceae. The record is from Rfam.
AAAAAGGCUUUGAUCAAAGCCAUUUAUAUCCCAUAUCAAGAUUAAG